RNAcentral lists this long non-coding RNA (3806 nucleotides) under Homo sapiens (human). RNAcentral's name for it is "lnc-FANCI-2 transcript variant e-PA2". Lineage: Eukaryota; Metazoa; Chordata; Mammalia; Primates; Hominidae. The record is from RNAcentral.
GCAGUCACGAACUCGCCAGCAGCUAGCAGCACUGACUAGUAGGAGGGCCCGCCGGAGGAGAGGACAUGCUCUGGAGUCAGAAGACAGCGAAAAGAGAAGCAGAAGCCCCGGUGGCAAGAGUCUGAAGCAGGAAGGAUGACUGUAGCCUGUGGAUUGUACUGCAGUAGGAAACUGUCCUAGCAAGGCUCCACUUUGCCCCAGCUUCAAGCUGGAAAGGAGGAGAACAUGAAACAUUGCUUGAAGACAAUGGCCGAGACAGCAGGUCCCACCCUGCACAGCCACCAGCAUCUCUCCCCUCAGCCCUGUCUCCUCUUCUGCAGUUGGGAUCUGCACAUUUAAGCCUGAAAUUGUCCUGUGAAGUGAAGUAUGAUCGGACAGCCUCUUUUCAGCUUUUAUGACAAUGGAGACAGAGGAAUUGUGGCUCUUGCCAAGGUCACAGGAUUGGAAUACAGAGCCAAGCCACCCCAGGACAUGCAAGAGCCUCAGAAGGGAAAAAAGCCCAGCAGGAAGGGAGAACAAGUAGCCUCUGUCCUGAAGUUGUAACAGCCAGGGGCCAGGAUGGAGGAGGAGGACCCCAUAAUCUGCCCAUCUGGGACUUGGCAGGGGACCUGGGAAAAUGUACCCCAACCCAUCCCUUAAGGGCCUUUGUCUUUGGCCCAUUGGCCUAGCAUCUACUUCUUCACCGUGUCUGUUCUUGUCACACCUAGUCAGGUCUGUUUGGGUCUGAGGUGCAUGGAACAUUCUGGGUAGGCCUCCAGCAAACGGAAGCUCUUCACCGUGUUUCCAGCCUGGGACCAAGGGCAGCAUACUGGCAAAGUUGCCAAAGCAAGGGACUCCAGCCUCUUAGGAGUUAAUGACUCCCUCUCCCCAGCUGUCCUCCCCUUGGUGCUCCUCUUCCUCCCUCCUCCUGCUCACAGCAGGCAGGGCCUAGACCCGGGAGCCAUGCUGCUGUGCUGUUGCCAGGGGAGCACGGAGGCAGAUCUGAGCUAUGCAGGGAAAAGGCCCAGCCUGUCAAAGUGUCUGAGAUGAACCGCCGCCGUCCCUGUGCAGCUGGGCUCAGACGUGUCUCAGCUCUUGUUCUGUGCCUGAGAAUGGCGAAACCCAGUGAGGUUCAAGGGCAAACUCGCUAUUCAUUAGUCAGGGGUUCUUGACGUCCCGUCUCUCCCAGGGAUGAGUUCCCCCCUCCUCUUUCUCCCCCUCCUAUGACACAUUCCUGGGUGCCUUUGGUGAGGACUGCACACCCUCCUCCUGCCUAGCCCCCUCUCCAAAGGCCCCUGAAUAAACUCCCCCCAAGGAGACCAGGCAGGGCAGAGACAAUGGCUGCAGGAAAUCAUUCAGGCGGGACAUGCUGGCCUGCCCUCCACCCAGUCCCCCUGUGGGCCCCACUCCCUUCUGAUUCAGGGCACCCUUGGGCCCCCAGCCUAUACAGGCCUGGACAGGAAGAAACCACUGGGAACCACCCUAAGGACAACAUGCUAGUCCAGUGCCAUUCUUCGCUGGCUCUGUGGGUGCCUUUGUGGCCUGUACCGACUGGCUGGCUAAUUUUGUGGUUUCUGUACCAUCACAUGCCUAUUUUAAGACACUCUCCAGCACUGUCGGUUAGGGAGUGUAAAUUUUGCAAUAUUUUCUGAAAUGUGGCAAUAUCAAAAUGUAAAAGGCACACAUACUUGGUCACAAACAAAUGGCACUAUUUACUCUGUGGGCAUAUUUGUAAAAGUUGCCAAAGAAUUAUAUACAAGGAUGUUCAUCAGAGCAUUUCUUUUGAAGAGUAAAGAAAUGGACAUGAACCUGUGGUCCGUUCAUACGGUGGAAUACCUAUGCAGCUGUAAAAAUCAGUGUGGUAGAUCUCCGUAUAUGAGUUGAUGUGGAAGGUUGGCCAGUUCACAUGAUAAGGUGAAUAGAAUAAGUUACAGAACAGGCUGUAGAGUAUGAUCUUAUUUGUAGAUGUUUAAAACUGAGUCAUAAGUAUGCUUAUAUACAGAUCGUUUCUGGAAGUAUGUACUGGAAGUCUACCUCUGGGGAGUGGGGAUGGGGGAGUGCACUCUUCUAUACUGUUAUAUUUUCUUUUCAUGCUCCUAAGGUACUUUUAUUGGAAGAUGUAAAGCGGUUCAAUGUAAUAGGCUUAACUUCUGUCAACUAAGUUGGCGUGGGUGCUUUAAGAGGGUGGUAGUGAUGUUGCUGGAGAAAGUAUCCCACAGUCACUGGUGGCUUCAGCCACGGGCCAUUUUGGGGCCUAAUAAUCACAUAUCAUCAUGGUUGCUAGUGUUAAUCGAAAACCUACUAAGUGCCAGGCUUACUGUCUCUGGGUCUUGCUUACGUGGAUGUCAUUUUUCCAGUUGCACCAAAUCGAAAGAGGUUAAUUGGUUUGUUGGAGUUCCUUUGUAGGUGAAGGGCAGAGCCAGGAGCUUGGCUAGGGACAGGGGAGGUGAGUGGGGGAUGGUGGAUAGGUCUUGGCUCCCAGUUUCCUUCUGGGCAGACAUUGCCCCUCUGCCCUGAGGACCUGCUUGUUUGGGGGAAGAGGCCUUUAGAGGCACCAGGGUCAUGCCAGGUGUUGGACAUGGUGAACUGGGAAGUGCUCCCAUCUGGCCACAGCGCAGAAGUAUCACCGUGCUGGGGGAUGGGGAACAGGGCUGUGAAUGGGCCUAUUUGCAUAAGCAGCAUGUGUCUGGAGAGAAAGACAUCACAGAGCAGAAGAGUGCGGGUGCCCAGGAGUGCACUUGCCACCCCUACUUCAUCCCUGAAAGAGUAAAUGGCCUGGAAGGUGUCUCUGAGAGGUAAUGCCGCACACCACCCUCCCUGGGGGCAGGGUCAGGCUACACCUGCCUUAGGUCGGGGGCUGCAGCAGCCUGAGAGCUCUCAGUAGGGCCUCAGUAGCCUGGGAGGGAGCAGGGGCAGGGGGCAGGGAAAGAGGCGUAAUGGGGCUGUCCAGAGGGGCCUGGGAAACCUGGUCCCUGAGGCCUGGGCACAGCUACAAUCACUUCAAAUUGGCUGUGGGGCCAGUGGACUGGGAAGGAAAAAAGCAAUAAGAGUGACCAAGUGCAGAAGGCUGUCAGGUCCCAGGUCACAUGCCUUAGUGCAGUGACUCCUCAUCAUUUUAUGGGGUGUGGGUGUCGUUGGUACACCCAUUUUACAGAUGAGGACACCGAGGCCCAGAAAAGUUAAGUUACAUGUCCUAAGUCACACAGCUUGUAAGUGCCAGAACUGAGAUCAAAACCAAGUCUCUUUGACUUUAAAGUCUGUACUCUGACCCCAAAGAGAUCCUGUUUGGCCACUUAUAGGAGGUCCCUAAAGCUGCAGACUCCCCUUGCCGGCACCCACAUAUAGAGACAUUAACCCUUCCCCUGCAGGGUCACCUCAAAUAGUCUUUUAGCUGGGCUUCUCCUGCAAUUCCACCUAAUGCCAUCCCCUGGGUUUUGCCCAAACCUGAACUGGGCAGUGGGGUGAGAGGAGGGGUUUACAGGGUUACAGAGCCUCAUACAGAUAGGAGCCCAUGGCUGCUGGUCAUCUGCAUUCCUGCAGGAUUGGCUGUUCCUUGGGGUCCUUGGCAGGAAAAUGAGGAUUGCUCCGAGGCCUGCUCCAGUACUUCCCAGAGGCUGGCCUGGUGUGGGGCUCUGGGAAGGCUGAGGCUGGAGAAGCGUAAGUAGGAGGGCAGAGAUGGCACUCAGGUAGCUUGAAUCACCAGGACCCUUCCAAGCCCCACAGGUUCUGAGGGAGUACUAGGGCCAGCUCUGGGAGAGGUCUCUUCCUAUGCUGUGAACCCCCUGCCUUUCUUGCAGCCUACAACGAAUAAAUUUUCUUUGCAAAGG